AUUGAACGCUGGCGGCAGGCCUAACACAUGCAAGUCGAGCGAGCGGCGGACGGGUGAGGAAUGUCGGGGAAACUGCCUGAUGGAGGGGGAUAACUGCUGGAAACGGUAGCUAAUACCGCAUACCAUCAGAUGUGCCCAGAUGGGAUUAGCUAGUAGGUGGGGUAAUGGCUCACCUAGGCGACGAUCCCUAGCUGGUCUGAGAGGAUGACCAGCCACACUGGGACUGAGACACGGUCCAGACUCCUCCGGGAGGCAGCAGUGGGGAAUCUUGCACAAUGGGCGCAAUCCUGACUCAGCCAUGCCGCGUGUGUGAAGAAGGCCUUCGGGUUGUAAAGCACUUUCAGCGGUGAGGCGUUACCCGAAGAAGAAGCACCGGCUAACUCCGUGCCAGCAGCCGCGGUAAUAA
RNAcentral lists this ribosomal RNA (406 nucleotides) under uncultured bacterium. RNAcentral describes it as "partial 16S ribosomal RNA". It matches the Rfam family "Bacterial small subunit ribosomal RNA", at positions 30 to 526 of the family's 1533-position model. The record is from RNAcentral.